CACGGGGUUGCGAGCGUUGUCCGGAAUUACUAGGCGUAAAGGGCAGGCAGGCGGAUCCAUAAGUUUAUCGUUUAAGGCGUCGGCUUAACCGGCGUAGGGCGGUAGAUACUGUGGAUCUGUAAUGCGGUUGGGGAAGAUAGAAUUCCUGGUGUAGCGGUGGAAUGCGCAGAGAUCAGGAGGAAUACCGAAGGCGAAGGCAGUCUUCCAAGCCGUUAUUGACGCUCAACUGCGAAGGUGUGGGUAUCAAACAGGAUUAGAUACCCGGGUAGUCCCUGAG
RNAcentral lists this ribosomal RNA (277 nucleotides) under uncultured prokaryote. RNAcentral describes it as "partial 16S ribosomal RNA". It matches the Rfam family "Bacterial small subunit ribosomal RNA", at positions 524 to 801 of the family's 1533-position model. The record is from RNAcentral.